UACGUAGGGUCCGAGCGUUGUCCGGAAUUACUGGGCGUAAAGAGCUCGUAGGCGGUCUGUCGCGUCGGAUGUGAAAAUCCAGGGCUUAACCCUGGACCUGCAUUCGAUACGGGCAGACUAGAGUUCGGUAGGGGAGACUGGAAUUCCUGGUGUAGCGGUGAAAUGCGCAGAUAUCAGGAGGAACACCGGUGGCGAAGGCGGGUCUCUGGGCCGAUACUGACGCUGAGGAGCGAAAGCGUGGGGAGCGAACAGG
This 253-nucleotide ribosomal RNA is filed under the name uncultured bacterium. Its description in RNAcentral is "partial 16S ribosomal RNA". It matches the Rfam family "Bacterial small subunit ribosomal RNA", at positions 524 to 776 of the family's 1533-position model. The record is from RNAcentral.